RNAcentral lists this ribosomal RNA (253 nucleotides) under uncultured bacterium. RNAcentral describes it as "partial 16S ribosomal RNA". It matches the Rfam family "Bacterial small subunit ribosomal RNA", at positions 524 to 776 of the family's 1533-position model. The record is from RNAcentral.
UACGUAGGGGGCUAGCGUUGUUCGGAAUUACUGGGCGUAAAGCGCACGUAGGCGGCUUUACAAGUCAGGGGUGAAAGCCCGCGGCUCAACCGCGGAAUUGCCUUCGAGACUGUAUCGCUUGAACACGGGAGAGGUGAGUGGAAUUCCGAGUGUAGAGGUGAAAUUCGUAGAUAUUCGGAAGAACACCAGUGGCGAAGGCGGCUCACUGGACCAUUGUUGACGCUGAGGUGCGAAAGCGUGGGGAGCAAACAGG